UACAGAGGCCUCGAGCGUUAAUCGGAAUCACUGGGCUUAAAGGGUGCGUAGGCGGCGCUGCAAGUGCCUUGUGAAAUCCCAUCGCUUAACGAUGGAACUGCUCGGUAGACUGCAGUGCUUGAGGUUGGUAGGGGCUGCCGGAACUCUAGGUGGAGCGGUGAAAUGCGUAGAUAUCGCUUGGAACGCCAACGGAGAAAUCAGCAGGCUGGGGAUGUGCUGACGCUGAGACGCGAAAGCCAGGGGAGUAAACGGG
This 253-nucleotide ribosomal RNA is filed under the name uncultured bacterium. Its description in RNAcentral is "partial 16S ribosomal RNA". It matches the Rfam family "Bacterial small subunit ribosomal RNA", at positions 524 to 776 of the family's 1533-position model. The record is from RNAcentral.